RNAcentral lists this unclassified non-coding RNA (347 nucleotides) under soil metagenome. Its description in RNAcentral is "partial contains 5.8S ribosomal RNA, internal transcribed spacer 2, and large subunit ribosomal RNA". The stretch from base 1 to 119 matches the Rfam family "5.8S ribosomal RNA", at positions 35 to 154 of the family's 154-position model. The record is from RNAcentral.
GAUGAAGAACGUAGUGAAUGCGAUAAGUAAUGUGAAUUGCAGAAUUCAGUGAAUCAUCGAAUCUUUGAACGCACAUUGCGCCCGCCAGUAUUCUGGCGGGCAUGCCUGUCUGAGCGUCAUUUCAACCCUCAUGCCCCUAGGGCGUGGUGUUGGGGAUCGGCCAAAGCCCGCGAGGGACGGCCGGCCCCUAAAUCUAGUGGCGGACCCGUCGUGGCCUCCUCUGCGAAGUAGUGAUAUUCCGCAUCGGAGAGCGACGAGCCCCUGCCGUUAAACCCCCAACUUUCCAAGGUUGACCUCAGAUCAGGUAGGAAUACCCGCUGAACUUAAGCAUAUCAAUAAGCGGAGGA